UGCAAGUCGACGCGAAAGGGGGCAACCCCGAGUAGAGUGGCGAAAGGGCGAGUAAUGCAUUCCUAACGUACCCCAAGGCCAGGGAUAGCUCAGGGAAACCUGAAUUAAUACCUGAUAACCCCGACGUGUCGCGUGACGUGUCGGGCAAAGGCUUGCUACCAUGGGAGCGGGGAAUGCGGUAUCAGCUAGUUGGUGAGGUAAUGGCUCACCAAGGCUAAGACGCCUAGCGGGUGUGAGAGCACGACCCGUCGCAUCGGGACUGAGACACUGCCCGGACUCCUACGGGAGGCUGCAGUAACGAAUAUUCCGCAAUGGGCGCAAGCCUGACGGAGCAAUGCCGCGUGCAGGAUGAAGCACUUCGGUGUGUAAACUGCUGUCAGGGGCUAGAAACUCAAUGAUCAGCCCCAGAGGAAGAGCCGGCUAACUCUGUGCCAGCAGCCGCGGUAAUACAGAGGGCUCGAGCGUUAAUCGGAAUCACUGGGCUUAAAGGGUGCGUAGGCGGAUCUGCAAGUGCUUUGUGAAAUCCCAUGGCUCAACCAUGGAACGGCUUGGCAUACUGCAGGUCUUGAGGUCGGUAGGGGAUGCCGGAACUCUAGGUGGAGCGGUGAAAUGCGUAGAUAUCUAGAGGAACGCCGA
This 636-nucleotide ribosomal RNA is filed under the name uncultured bacterium. RNAcentral's name for it is "bacterial SSU rRNA". It matches the Rfam family "Bacterial small subunit ribosomal RNA", at positions 56 to 712 of the family's 1533-position model. The record is from RNAcentral.